Molecule: ribosomal RNA, 400 nt
Filed under: uncultured bacterium
Lineage: Bacteria
Description: partial 16S ribosomal RNA
Rfam family: Bacterial small subunit ribosomal RNA
Source: RNAcentral
UGGGGAAUAUUGCACAAUGGGCGAAAGCCUGAUGCAGCAACGCCGCGUGAGUGAUGAAGGUCUUCGGAUUGUAANGCUCUGUCUUUUGGGACGAUAAUGACGGUACCAAAGGAGGAAGCCACGGCUAACUACGUGCCAGCAGCCGCGGUAAUACGUAGGUGGCGAGCGUUGUCCGGAUUUACUGGGCGUAAAGGGUGCGUAGGCGGAUGUUUAAGUGAGAUGUGAAAUACCCGGGCUUAACUUGGGUGCUGCAUUUCAAACUGGAUAUCUAGAGUGCAGGAGAGGAGAAUGGAAUUCCUAGUGUAGCGGUGAAAUGCGUAGAGAUUAGGAAGAACACCAGUGGCGAAGGUGAUUCUCUGGACUGUAACUGACGCUGAGGCACGAAAGCGUGGGUAGCAAA